This is a small nuclear RNA of Alnus glutinosa, 200 nucleotides long. RefSeq annotates it as U2 spliceosomal RNA. NCBI's taxonomy places the organism in Eukaryota, Viridiplantae, Streptophyta, Magnoliopsida, Fagales, Betulaceae. The transcript has a single exon. The record is from RefSeq and is a predicted model, not a curated record.
AUACCUUUCUCGGCCUUUUGGCUAAGAUCAAGUGUAGUAUCUGUUCUUAUCAGUUUAAUAUCUGUUACGUGGCCCAUCAGGCCACAUGAUAUUAAAUUAAUUUCUCUUAAUUGGGGGAGAGUCAAUCGCAGUAGCUUGCUACUGAGCCUCUCGAGCGUCGCCUAUGUGUAGCACUAUUGCACGGGCCUAGCGCACCCCAC